RNAcentral lists this ribosomal RNA (1480 nucleotides) under Lacticaseibacillus rhamnosus. RNAcentral describes it as "bacterial SSU rRNA". It matches the Rfam family "Bacterial small subunit ribosomal RNA". The record is from RNAcentral. Lineage: Bacteria; Bacillati; Bacillota; Bacilli; Lactobacillales; Lactobacillaceae.
GAAGGGUUACCGGCGGCGUGCUAUACAUGCAAGUCGAACGAGUUCUGAUUAUUGAAAGGUGCUUGCAUCUUGAUUUAAUUUUGAACGAGUGGCGGACGGGUGAGUAACACGUGGGUAACCUGCCCUUAAGUGGGGGAUAACAUUUGGAAACAGAUGCUAAUACCGCAUAAAUCCAAGAACCGCAUGGUUCUUGGCUGAAAGAUGGCGUAAGCUAUCGCUUUUGGAUGGACCCGCGGCGUAUUAGCUAGUUGGUGAGGUAACGGCUCACCAAGGCAAUGAUACGUAGCCGAACUGAGAGGUUGAUCGGCCACAUUGGGACUGAGACACGGCCCAAACUCCUACGGGAGGCAGCAGUAGGGAAUCUUCCACAAUGGACGCAAGUCUGAUGGAGCAACGCCGCGUGAGUGAAGAAGGCUUUCGGGUCGUAAAACUCUGUUGUUGGAGAAGAAUGGUCGGCAGAGUAACUGUUGUCGGCGUGACGGUAUCCAACCAGAAAGCCACGGCUAACUACGUGCCAGCAGCCGCGGUAAUACGUAGGUGGCAAGCGUUAUCCGGAUUUAUUGGGCGUAAAGCGAGCGCAGGCGGUUUUUUAAGUCUGAUGUGAAAGCCCUCGGCUUAACCGAGGAAGUGCAUCGGAAACUGGGAAACUUGAGUGCAGAAGAGGACAGUGGAACUCCAUGUGUAGCGGUGAAAUGCGUAGAUAUAUGGAAGAACACCAGUGGCGAAGGCGGCUGUCUGGUCUGUAACUGACGCUGAGGCUCGAAAGCAUGGGUAGCGAACAGGAUUAGAUACCCUGGUAGUCCAUGCCGUAAACGAUGAAUGCUAGGUGUUGGAGGGUUUCCGCCCUUCAGUGCCGCAGCUAACGCAUUAAGCAUUCCGCCUGGGGAGUACGACCGCAAGGUUGAAACUCAAAGGAAUUGACGGGGGCCCGCACAAGCGGUGGAGCAUGUGGUUUAAUUCGAAGCAACGCGAAGAACCUUACCAGGUCUUGACAUCUUUUGAUCACCUGAGAGAUCAGGUUUCCCCUUCGGGGGCAAAAUGACAGGUGGUGCAUGGUUGUCGUCAGCUCGUGUCGUGAGAUGUUGGGUUAAGUCCCGCAACGAGCGCAACCCUUAUGACUAGUUGCCAGCAUUUAGUUGGGCACUCUAGUAAGACUGCCGGUGACAAACCGGAGGAAGGUGGGGAUGACGUCAAAUCAUCAUGCCCCUUAUGACCUGGGCUACACACGUGCUACAAUGGAUGGUACAACGAGUUGCGAGACCGCGAGGUCAAGCUAAUCUCUUAAAGCCAUUCUCAGUUCGGACUGUAGGCUGCAACUCGCCUACACGAAGUCGGAAUCGCUAGUAAUCGCGGAUCAGCACGCCGCGGUGAAUACGUUCCCGGGCCUUGUACACACCGCCCGUCACACCAUGAGAGUUUGUAACACCCGAAGCCGGUGGCGUAACCCUUUUAGGGAGCGAGCCGUCUAAGGUGACAAAAU